Molecule: small nuclear RNA, 114 nt
Filed under: Oryzias latipes (Japanese medaka)
Lineage: Eukaryota; Metazoa; Chordata; Actinopteri; Beloniformes; Adrianichthyidae
Description: U5 spliceosomal RNA (ENSORLG00000029867.1)
Rfam family: U5 spliceosomal RNA
About the family: U5 RNA is a component of both types of known spliceosome. The precise function of this molecule is unknown, though it is known that the 5' loop is required for splice site selection and p220 binding, and that both the 3' stem-loop and the Sm site are important for Sm protein binding and cap methylation.
Source: Rfam by way of RNAcentral
GCACUCUUGUUUCUCUUCAGAUUGUAUAAAUCUUUCGGCUUUUACUAACGAUUUCCGUGGGGAGGAACAACAAGAGUUUGAUUCAAUUUUUUGAUGCCCUGCAGUAGUAGGGCC